RNAcentral lists this long non-coding RNA (5587 nucleotides) under Salvia miltiorrhiza (redroot sage). RNAcentral describes it as "long non-coding RNA (SMIL_LNC006866)". The record is from RNAcentral. Lineage: Eukaryota; Viridiplantae; Streptophyta; Magnoliopsida; Lamiales; Lamiaceae.
AAAAGCACCUCACAAAACAAAGUGGCAUCUAGCAAGCGAGGAAAUGGGUCUAUACAUGUAAUUUGGCUACUAAUUAAUUAAUCUACAAAGUAAAGGAAGAUUAUAUAUUACUAUAUUAAUAGGUGUAUGUAUAUUGAUUAUUCACAUAUUUAAUUAGGUUAUUUAAGCAUAAGCACCUUGUGCCUAGCUUCAUUAAUUAUAAUCUCCUCUUUCAUCUUCCUUAUGAAAUCUUCAAAUUUCUGGUUCAGCUCUUCCGUACUCAUCAUAUCCUCUUUCUUCUCCACUUGUUCAUCAUUAUCAUCUUCUCCUUCUUCUUCGUUGUCUUGUUCGUACAGCUCUUCCACAUCGUCGUGGAAAAGCCAGCAAUAACUUGCAGAAUUUCCAUCCUUGUCCACAUCCGCGGAAUCACGGCGAUCUUCUCCUCGUUCCUCAGCGAUGAAAAUGGAGACCUCUUUGGGCUCUUCCUCCGGCAUCGGCGUGCUCCUCCAAUUGAAAUCUAUCGAGAGCUGUCUGCAGCAAGGCGUCGGCGAUCCGCUUAUCGUUGAGAUCGCGGGCGGCGGGAGGCUGAAUGAAGCCGGAGGUCUUGGCGAGGAAGACUAGGAGGCCGUUGCAGAUGAGGAAGAGGCAGUUUUUGCUGAGUGCGUGGGUGAGGAGGUGGAAGGAGAAGUAGUGGUGGAAUUUGGGGGAGGGGUGGAGUAGAGACGAGGAGAAGGAGACUAGGAAGGAAAACAGUGAAACGGAUAUUAGUAGCUGAGAGAUCAUCUUCUUUGAGGGUUGAGAUCCGGUCGAAUCAUAUUUUUGGUCCAUUUCUCUGGUUUGAUCCAAGUGUGUGUGUGUUUGGGGAAGGGGUGUGGAAGCUGGUGUCUCUACAGAGAUAAAUGGUGCCUUUAUAUAGGUGAAGCCUUGAGAAAUACCCCUACUUACCACAUUGGAGAUGAAGAGAUUCCAACUUUUUGGGAGUAGUAAUUACUGAAUCUAAUUGGAAUAUUGUAAGCUCAUCUUUAAUACUCAUCUAUUGGUUUUUCAUUAUAUUUCUUAUUAGACUUAUAUAAAUAUAAUCAUAUGUCAACACAAUUUUAAAACUAACCAAUUUACUAUUGUAGAAAUAGAAACUAGUGAGUACUAUAUUAAAACUAGUAUACAACAUAUGCACAAGCAUCGUUAUUCAUCAUUGUACUCCACACAAUAUAUACUCUAUCUGUCUCAUAAGAGUGUGCAUUUUUCAUUUUGGACACUACCUCACUAUAUCAGUACUACAAUAAAGUGAGUCUCUUUAUUCACUCACAACACAAUAAUUUAAUAUUUAUUAAUAUAUGUGUCGCAAAAGGGAUGCACACUCUUGAGGGCCAGAGACAGUAUUAAUCAAAUUUAAUAAUAUUAAGAUUUAAAUUUUAAUAUUUUAAAACUAUUAUAUUUUCAAGGUGAAAAAUAUAAAAUAUAUAUUUUAUCUAAUAAAUACAUACACAUAUAUAUAUAUAUAUAUGUGGGUUAUAUUAGGGGGUGAGCAGCGGGGUCGGACCCGGGACCAACCCGCCGGGGUUUUGUUGGACCAAAAAUUUUUCAAAAAAAUUGGACCGAUCCGGACCGAUUUAUACGUGUGGACCGAUCCAGACCCGGAUAGAACCCAAGUAACGGGUCCGGUUCGAUCUGGAUCAGACCCGCCAAUAAUAUAAUUAUUUCCCCCUGUUUUGUACUUAAUUUUCAGAUCUAAAACAUGUAAAAGAUAUGGAUUGAGCAAGAAGUAGAGUCCAAUAUGUCAUCGUUUGAAGCUCUUCUCGACCAAGAAAAAACAGAGCAGUUUGAAGAUUCCUGCCCAAUUCAAGACGAGGAACAAGUAGAGGAAGAAGAUAGCGCAGCUUGCCAUCUUUCUCCUUCAACACAAUCAGAUGAAGAAGCUCUUUAAAGCAAUGAAGCGCCGCUCCUCCUUCAAGAACCCGCCGUCGAUAUCGAUAAAGAAGCACAAGAGUCGAGUAUUAUACUAAAAGAGGUAGUUUUGCUAAACAAUGAGGAAGAAAACCAGGCGGCGGCGGAGACGACCGCUGAUGAAGAUGAAGAUGAAGAAGAGCAAGCAGCAGUGGCAAAACCAAAUGAAAAUCAAGAAUUGAUGGUAAUGGCGAGUAACAAUGGAGAUGAAGAAAAGAGAGAGAAACAGAAGCCGUUUGAGUGGGUGGAGCAGCGGGUUUGAGCAACGACGACUAGGAUUAGAGACGCAAGUCACAUACUUGAUUCAGGUUUUGCAAUGUUUAUUUGAAUUUCCAGACUUGAGUUGACUUAGUUAGGUAGGGUUUUGAUUUUAAAUUUUAUUAAUAUUACUCCGUCCACGAAAUGAGUACCCAUUUAUGGACGGCACGGGUUUUAAGAAAUGUAUGGAGUGUAGUGUGAAUAGUUUAUGGGUCCCACUUUUUGAGUGUAUUAAUUAAAGAGAUGUGUGGGGUACACUUGACAAAAAGGAAAAUGGGUACUCAUUUCGUGGACGGACGAAAAAGGAAAUAUGGGUACUCAUUUCGUGGACGGAGGGAGUACUAUAUAAAUUAAAUAAUUAAUUGAUAAAUAAAUGGGUCGGUUAGGGUUCAGUGGGUUCGAGUGGGUUUCGACCCGAUGAAAUUUUGGUCCUAGAAAAUUGACCCGACCCGGACCAUAUAUGUGUCUUAGGUUGGUUCGGUUCGGACCGAACCCGUCGGUCCGGGCGGGUUCGGCUGGUUCGGGUUGGGUCUGCUCACCCCUAGGUUAUAUAUAUAGACUAUUCACAUAUAUUUUAAAAAAGUAUGUGUUUCAUAUGUAUAAAUAAUCAUACACUCACACACAUGUAUAAUAUAUCUUUAUUUGGUUAUUAACAUAAUCUUUAGGACAUUUUUGGACACUAUGUGGCGGCUACAUGACAUUAAAUUAAAUGACGUCGUUUUAUAGCUAAAAAACAUGAAACAACGUCGCUUCAUUUUUUUAGGAUUAAAAUCCAUUUAACCUAACCCUAGCUGUACAAUUUCGAAUUUUCAUUCCUAAUCAGAAGGCGAGAAGAAGAGGACGAGAAAAACGCAAUAAUCUCGUGAGACAAAAACGAGUUGUAGUAAUGCCAUGAAAAAUACUCGCGAAUCUCAACUUGUCGAAUUAAUGGAGGACAAGUACGACUCACAUCCUUUUUUUUAUUCUUCUUUCUUUGUCAUCUUGCUUUUCUUAUUGACCUUCUUAAGCGGCUAUAGGAUUUAGAAAUUAGGGUUCUUAGUUCCCCCAAUUUCAUAACUGCAAACCCCACUUUUUCAAUUUGGUGUUUACUCUAAUUUGAUUAAUUUGGUUGUAAGAAUUCUUAUACUUAAUUGCUUAUGCCUUUGCAUUUUCUUGAUUUGAUUUGGCUGCAAACCCCUUGUUUUAUUACAUUUUCUACGUUUGUAUACUGUCAGUUGCAUGUAAUUUGAAUUCAUUAUUUACUAGUAAUUUGAUGAUUUAUUGUUUUUUCUACAUUUGUAGUGAUGACAUUGCACUUUACAUUCACCAUGGAGAAAAAAUUGUUAGAUUAGGAUCCACUAAACUGUACUAAGGUGGUGUAGUAAGCAAAUUAGAUUUUGAUAAGGGUAGAUUUGGAUAUUUGGACUUAAAGGAGGAGAUUCAGAAACUUGGUUAUAUUUCUUGGAACUGCAUAACAUAUAAAGUGUCACAGCCCAAAACCGUUUAGUUCCUUUGCAAUUUUUAUUUGAAAAUUAGUAUAUUUUUGAGUUAUUAAUAUAUAUAUAUAUAUAUAUAUAUAUAUCUAUNAGUCAUCCAUUUGGUGGGCGAUGCAAAUUAUUGCUCCACGCUGAUUUAAAAUAUUAUAUAAACGUGGACGUAAUUUUAAGAUUCAAAUUAAAUCGAUAAUGAUUUGGACUGUGUUCAAUUUUUCAUCUUCUUACUUGAAAAUUAAUUUUAUCUAUAUAUGAUAGGCCUACAAGGCUCUUGUAGCGUGAUUUAAACCAGAGAUUUUGUAAAUGGCCGGGAUUAAGAAAUGAUCCAAAAUUAGUUCUAGUCUGCAAACCCAUAGGCCCAAGUCUUCAAAAAUUAAUGGGCUAAAGCUGAAAUAGUUCCACACUCAGCUUCCAAGUGUGGCUCUCUAACUCAUAAAUCUUAUGGAAGUAGUUCGUAGUACUAUUUCAAAUGCAUAAUUAUGAUCCAAUCGGGUCAAAAAGGAAUUGUAGCUAAGACUUAGAAAACAAAAAAAAGGAUACACGCAAAUUUUGUAGUGUUUGAUUAGAGAUUUCGCCGCCAGCAGGAGAAGGAUUAACGUCAACCAAUCAAUGUCGUUGGAAGAUUAUAAUUAGCUAUUUGAUUUGGAGGCAUGAGUUAUAAGGUAAAAUAGUAAAUUCAUAAUUAUUAUUUUAAUAAAAGACUAUAAUGUUAUGAAUAAAAUUGAUAUUUUCGUCUGUGCGCGCUGUUGACUUGUUAUCACCUUAAAUGAGGGGAUUAAAGUCAUCACAACUCACAAGCACAAAGCAUGCUGCUGUAUUUUAUUUUAAAAAUAAUCCGAACAUAAUUUAAAAUAGGCAUUUGAAUUUAGGCCGAACCAAAUAACUCUAACAUCUACUAUAAAUAACAUUUACUAUUUACUCCCUUCGUCCUAUUAAAGUUGGCAACAUUUCUAUUUUGGGUGUCCCACUAAAGUUGGCCACUUUCUAAAAAUGGCAAAAGUUUACUUUAAUUAAGUCAACAAUUACUCACUAAUUUGGUCAACAAUUGUAGGCACUUUCUAAAAAUAUCAAAAUUACUUUAAUUAAGUCAACAAUUACUCACUAAUUUGGUCAACAAUUGUAGGCCACACUUUAUUAAAACAUAUAACACUCAAUUUCUUAAUCUCCGUGCCGAAACGAAUGUUGCCAACUUUAGCGGGACGGAGGGUACCAGAUUGAUACGAUANAAUUAUUUAAGUAUAUAUAAAUAUAUAGACCUAUAUAUAAUCGGGGCCCUCAAUUUUCGGGCCCUGUGCGGUCGCCCACCCCGCACACCCUCAAACCGCCACUGACAACAUAUGCACAAGCAUCAUUAUUCAUCAUUGUACUCCACACAAUAUAUACUCUAUCUCUCUCAUAAGAGUGUGCAUUUUUCAUUUUGGACACUACCUCACUAUAACACUACAAUAAAGUGAGUCUCUUUAUUCACUCACAACACAAUAAUUUAAUAUUUAUUAAUAUAUGUGUCGCAAAAGGGAUGCACACUCUUGAGGGCCAGAGACAGUAUUAAUCAAAUUUAAUAAUAUUAAGAUUUAAAUUUUAAUAUUUUAAAACUAUUAUAUUUUCAAGGUGAAAAAUAUAAAAUAUAUAUUUUAUCUAAUAAAUACAUACAUAUAUAUAUAUAUAUAUAUGUGUGUGUGUGUUAUAUUAGGGGUGAGCAGCGGGUCGGACCCGGACCAACCCGCCGGGUUUGUUGGACCGAAUUUUUCAAAAAAUUGGACCGACCCGGACCGAUUUAUACGUGUGGACCGAUCCAGACCCGGAUAGAACCCAAGUAACGGGUCCGGUUCGAUCUGGAUCAGACUCGCCAAUAAUAUAAUUAUUUCCCCCCCUGUUUUGUCCUUAAUUUUCAGAUCUAAAACAUGUAAAAGAUAGGGAUUGAGCAAGAAGUAGAG